RNAcentral lists this ribosomal RNA (292 nucleotides) under Enterococcus cecorum. RNAcentral describes it as "partial 16S ribosomal RNA". It matches the Rfam family "Bacterial small subunit ribosomal RNA", at positions 1 to 273 of the family's 1533-position model. Lineage: Bacteria; Bacillati; Bacillota; Bacilli; Lactobacillales; Enterococcaceae. The record is from RNAcentral.
UUUUAUGAGAGUUUGAUCCUGGCUCAGGACGAACGCUGGCGGCGUGCCUAAUACAUGCAAGUCGAACGCAUUUUCUUUCACCGUAGCUUGCUACACCGAAAGAAAAUGAGUGGCGAACGGGUGAGUAACACGUGGGUAACCUGCCCAUCAGCGGGGGAUAACACUUGGAAACAGGUGCUAAUACCGCAUAAUUCCAUUUACCGCAUGGUAGAUGGAUGAAAGGCGCUUUUGCGUCACUGAUGGAUGGACCCGCGGUGCAUUAGCUAGUUGGUGGGGUAACGGCCUACCAAGG